Molecule: ribosomal RNA, 540 nt
Filed under: Bacillus sp. SSCA19
Lineage: Bacteria; Bacillati; Bacillota; Bacilli; Caryophanales; Bacillaceae
Description: bacterial SSU rRNA
Rfam family: Bacterial small subunit ribosomal RNA
Source: RNAcentral
GGACGAACGCUGGCGGCGUGCCUAAUACAUGCAAGUCGAGCGGACUAAAAGGGGCUUGCUCCUUUUAGUUAGCGGCGGACGGGUGAGUAACACGUGGGCAACCUGCCCGUAAGAUCGGGAUAACUUCGGGAAACCGGAGCUAAUACCGGAUAACACCGAAGACCGCAUGGUCUUUGGUUGAAAGGCGGCUUUGGCUGUCACUUACGGAUGGGCCCGCGGCGCAUUAGCUAGUUGGUGAGGUAACGGCUCACCAAGGCGACGAUGCGUAGCCGACCUGAGAGGGUGAUCGGCCACACUGGGACUGAGACACGGCCCAGACUCCUACGGGAGGCAGCAGUAGGGAAUCUUCCGCAAUGGACGAAAGUCUGACGGAGCAACGCCGCGUGAGCGAAGAAGGUCUUCGGAUUGUAAAGCUCUGUUGUUAGGGAAGAACAAGUACCGUUCGAAUAGGGCGGUACCGUGACGGUACCUAACGAGAAAGCCACGGCUAACUACGUGCCAGCAGCCGCGGUAUACCUAGUGGCAAGCGUUGUCCGAAUU